CGGGAAGUUACCGUUGCGGUUAAGUCGGCGUUAAGGUAGACGUUGACGUAGAAUUACGAGAAACCGGUACCCUUAGCGUAAGGACAGGACGUCCGUAGUUCCGGAACGGCGUAACGUACUAGGCCUAGGACUAGUCUAGUAACGUAGUAGGGUAGUCAAACAAGAGUUUACGAGACCCUGGUCGAACCGACACCGUAAACGGUAACUAGGGUAGAUUCCGACCUGUUGGCGNGAUACACGUUGCCUAGGCCAACGCUAAAGGCGCCUAAGGUACCUUACCGACCCUUCGGGGUCGUACGUACCGGUCAACCGUUCGAAACCGUUACCGAACGGACGUUCCGACGGACCUACGGUACGUAAACCGUACUUUACAGGUUACGUAGUACGUAGCCUAAACGUCUAACGGUUAGUUAACGAACGAAGUACGCUACGGUACCAACUACGGUCGCCAAGCACGGUACCGACGGUAAGUACGUAGGGUGCGAGCGUUCGUCCGGAAUUAUUGGGGCGUAAAGGGCGUCGUAGGACGGUUUGUACGUCGUCGGGUAGGUGAAAAACGCCCGGUGCGUUAAACACGGACGUCUUGCUUUCGGAAUACGGGUCUAGACGUAGAGGUAUGCGAGGGAAGAACGGAAUUCCUCGGUGUAGCGGUGAAAUCGCGCAGAUAUCAGGAGGAACACCGGGUCGACGCGGCCG
This 696-nucleotide ribosomal RNA is filed under the name uncultured bacterium. RNAcentral describes it as "partial 16S ribosomal RNA". The record is from RNAcentral.